This 441-nucleotide ribosomal RNA is filed under the name uncultured bacterium. RNAcentral describes it as "partial 16S ribosomal RNA". It matches the Rfam family "Bacterial small subunit ribosomal RNA", at positions 338 to 795 of the family's 1533-position model. The record is from RNAcentral.
CCUACGGGUGGCAGCAGUGGGGAAUAUUGCACAAUGGGCGAAAGCCUGAUGCAGCAACGCCGCGUGAAGGAAGAAGGUCUUCGGGUCGUAAACUUCUGUCCUUGGGGAAGAAGAACUGACGGUACCCAAGGAGGAAGCCCCGGCUAACUACGUGACAGCAGACGAGGUAAUACGCAGGGGGCGAGCGUUAACCGGAUUUAUUGGGCGUAAAGAGUACGUAGGUGGCAACCUAAGUGAAGGGUUGAAGGCCAUGGCUCAACCAUUGUUUGCCCUGGGAACUGGGAUUCUUGAGUGCAGGAGAGGAAAGCGGAAUUCCUGGUGUAGCGGUGAAAUGCGUAGAUAUUAGGAGGAACACCAGUGGCGAAGGCAGCUUUCUGGACUGUAACUGACGCUGAGGUACGAAAGCGUGGGGAGCGAACAGGAUUAGAUACCCGAGUAGUC